Molecule: long non-coding RNA, 658 nt
Organism: Orcinus orca (killer whale)
Lineage: Eukaryota; Metazoa; Chordata; Mammalia; Artiodactyla; Delphinidae
Exons: 3
Source: RefSeq, a predicted model, not a curated record
UUAUAUUUAGUUUUAUAAUUCCUGACUAUUUUAUUAUAUAACUUGACAUGUUCAUCAAAGAAAAAAUCGAAAGAAGUUAAAAGAAAGAGAACCGCUCCUGAGGAAUAUUUUUUCCACCACAUAAUUUUAAAUCCUUAAUCAUGAAUUAACUUGCUACUCUCAUUUUAUCUCUUUGGGGAGAGAAAGAAUAAGUUAUCAAGAAUCACCAUCAUUGUUUUACACACACACACAGUGAUUUUUAUUUAUCGUUUUUAGUUUGGAUUUGUUGUUUAAGUUUAUUGCUCUUCAUUACUUCACGUAAAGACACUUGCCACUGGAAUCAUUUCUUGUUGCCUGAAAUACAUCCUAGACAAUUUCCUUUAGUGUGGGUCUCCUGCAGUGAAAUCUCCCAGUUUUUAUUUAUCUCAAUGCCAUUUUUCCUCCGAACUUGACAGAUAUUGUCACUGGUUACAGAAUUCUAACUUGGCCAUUUUUUUUCAGCAGAUGGAAGACAUUUUACUGUCUCUGGCUGUCAGAUGUCAGUCAUUUGAAGUCUCUGUAGGUAGAGUUCCUGGCAUACCAUCUACCUGAAUCCUCUGUGUCAGGGGCUUACUGGGAUGUAAUGCAGGUUGAAAGUUUCAGUUUCUUGAUGGAGACAAUACUCAGAUCCUGAGGCCAC